UACAGAGGUCCCAAGCGUUGUUCGGAGUCACUGGGCGUAAAGGGUGCGUAGGCGGUCGGGUAAGUCUGAUGUGAAAUCUCACAGCUUAACUGUGAAACUGCAUUGGAUACUAUCCGGCUCGAGGAAUGGAGGGGAGACUGGAAUACUUGGUGUAGCAGUGAAAUGCGUAGAUAUCAAGUGGAACACCAGUGGCGUAGGCGAGUCUCUGGACAUUUCCUGACGCUGAGGCACGAAAGCCAGGGGAGCAAACGGG
Molecule: ribosomal RNA, 253 nt
Filed under: uncultured bacterium
Lineage: Bacteria
Description: partial 16S ribosomal RNA
Rfam family: Bacterial small subunit ribosomal RNA
Source: RNAcentral